RNAcentral lists this transfer RNA (74 nucleotides) under Solanum lycopersicum (tomato). It matches the Rfam family "tRNA". Rfam says of the family: Transfer RNA (tRNA) molecules are approximately 80 nucleotides in length. Their secondary structure includes four short double-helical elements and three loops (D, anti-codon, and T loops). Lineage: Eukaryota; Viridiplantae; Streptophyta; Magnoliopsida; Solanales; Solanaceae. The record is from Rfam by way of RNAcentral.
GCGCUCUUAGUCCAAUUCAGUUGAAUGUGGGUCUCCAAAACCCAAUGUCGUAGGUUCAAAUCCUACAGAGCGUG